UUAUUUUCUCAUUAUCUUUGCCUAAGCUUGCCUUCUUUUUGUUUAUAUAGUUUUUUUUUUAAAAAAAAAAAUCACGAAGGACACCAUUGAUCUUUGCCAUGAAAAAUAUUUGGAAAACUGAGAAAAUUUGUUCUAUUAUCUGAUAUAGUAGGAGUUUUUGACCUUUUGGUAAGGUGCUAAAAUACUUUUGAUGAAUUGAGAUGCUCGUUUGAUUUGGGUAAUGAGAUGUUAUAACAUGUUCAUCAGAAUUCUGAAGCAUCCAGUGUUCAUCCUGGGGAAAACUAGUUCUAUUUUGGAGAAUUUGCGUGCUUUUAUGGUUUCUGUUUAUUUCUAUUGAUUUUGAACUUUCUUCUUGGUCUGUGUUACUUAAAAAGGUUGAGGACAUCCUUGGGGAGCAUGCAAUUCUUUUUAAGGAACACUAUUACCUAAAGCCUACUGGAAAUUGUGAUCUUUCUAGGAUGAGCGAUCCUCAUAACGAAUUCAAGGGGAAGAAUGUGCUUAUUGAACUUAAUGAUUCUUCUGCCUCGGCUUCAAAACUUGGUAUGCCACUGGAGAAAUAUCUAAAUAUUUUGGGUGAAUGUAGACGAAAGCUGUUUGACGUAAGAUCCAAAAGACCAAGGCCACAUUUGGAUGACAAGGUAUUUGCCUUUUUCCUUCUCUCUUUCCGCCUUCAUCCUUGCCUCCUUAAAAAGCAAAGAUUAAAAUUUAUCUAUUAAAACAAGUAACUAGUCUAUCAGAUGAAUCACCUGAUUUUUUUUCAGCCUUCGUACUGGUUAUACACACAUUAAGUGAUCAGGUGCUUGCUAGGUAAUUGUAUCAUGGAAUGGACUUGUGAUUUCGUCCUUUGCAAGAGCCUCAAAAAUUCUCAAGAGUGAAGCUGAGAGCGCCAUGUUCAACUUCCCUGUUGUCGGCUCUGAUGUAAGAUCUUUACUAUUUUGGCUUAUGCUUGGCAACAUGAAUUAUCUAAAUGAAUUACAUUAUGUACUCUAUUUAGAUGAGGGUGUGCCACCUUGUUUAGCAUGAUAUAAAGAUUUAACUAGUUAAUUAAUUAUCAACUAUGUCUACUGUUGAUCAGAGGUUUUAGAUGAGGGCGUGUCACCUUGUUUAGCAUGAUAUAAAGCUUUAAAUAGUUAAUUAAUUACCAACUAUGUCUACUGCUGAUCAAAGGUUUUGUGGGAGUAUUAUGACAUGCGAUUACCCCGGGGCUCUUGCUUGCUAGAGAGGGCGACCCUUUAGUUUUUGAGUUUGAAAAUAUUUGGAAAACUGAGAAAAUUUGUUCUAUUAUCUGAUAUAGUAGGAGUUUUUGACCUUUUGGUAAGGUGCUAAAAUACUUUUGAUGAAUUGAGAUGCUCGUUUGAUUUGGGUAAUGAGAUGUUAUAACAUGUUCAUCAGAAUUCUGAAGCAUCCAGUGUUCAUCCUGGGGAAAACUAGUUCUAUUUUGGAGAAUUUGCGUGCUUUUAUGGUUUCUGUUUAUUUCUAUUGAUUUUGAACUUUCUUCUUGGUCUGUGUUACUUAAAAAGGUUGAGGACAUCCUUGGGGAGCAUGCAAUUCUUUUUAAGGAACACUAUUACCUAAAGCCUACUGGAAAUUGUGAUCUUUCUAGGAUGAGCGAUCCUCAUAACGAAUUCAAGGGGAAGAAUGUGCUUAUUGAACUUAAUGAUUCUUCUGCCUCGGCUUCAAAACUUGGUAUGCCACUGGAGAAAUAUCUAAAUAUUUUGGGUGAAUGUAGACGAAAGCUGUUUGACGUAAGAUCCAAAAGACCAAGGCCACAUUUGGAUGACAAGGUAUUUGCCUUUUUCCUUCUCUCUUUCCGCCUUCAUCCUUGCCUCCUUAAAAAGCAAAGAUUAAAAUUUAUCUAUUAAAACAAGUAACUAGUCUAUC
This 1881-nucleotide long non-coding RNA is filed under the name Citrus sinensis (sweet orange). RNAcentral's name for it is "long non-coding RNA (CSIN_LNC002397)". Lineage: Eukaryota; Viridiplantae; Streptophyta; Magnoliopsida; Sapindales; Rutaceae. The record is from RNAcentral.